This 301-nucleotide ribosomal RNA is filed under the name uncultured bacterium. Its description in RNAcentral is "partial 16S ribosomal RNA". It matches the Rfam family "Bacterial small subunit ribosomal RNA", at positions 509 to 809 of the family's 1533-position model. The record is from RNAcentral.
CAGCCGCCGCGGUAAUACCGAGGGUGCGAGCGUUAAUCGGAUUUACUGGGCGUAAAGCGUGCGUAGGCGGCUUCUUAAGUCGGAUGUGAAAUCCCUGAGCUUAACUUAGGAAUUGCAUUCGAUACUGGGAAGCUAGAGUAUGGGAGAGGAUGGUAGAAUUCCAGGUGUAGCGGUGAAAUGCGUAGAGAUCUGGAGGAAUACCGAUGGCGAAGGCAGCCAUCUGGCCUAAUACUGACGCUGAGGUACGAAAGCAUGGGGAGCAAACAGGAUUAGAUACCCGUGUAGUCCCUGUCUCUUAUAA